Molecule: ribosomal RNA, 255 nt
Filed under: uncultured prokaryote
Description: partial 16S ribosomal RNA
Rfam family: Bacterial small subunit ribosomal RNA
Source: RNAcentral
AUACGUAGGUGGCAAGCGUUGUCCGGAUUUAUUGGGUUUAAAGGGUGCGUAGGCGGCCCUGUAAGUCAGUGCUGAAAUAUCCCAGCUUAACUGGGAGGGUGGCAUUGAUACUGCGGGGCUAGAGUACAGAUGAGGUAGGCGGAAUUGACGGUGUAGCGGUGAAAUGCUUAGAUAUCGUCAAGAACACCUAUAGCGAAGGCAGCUUACUAGGCUGUAACUGACGCUGAGGCACGAAAGUGUGGGGAUCAAACAGGA